CGCGCGAUACAGGGUGACAGCCCCGUACACAAAAGCGCAUGUGCUGUGAGCUCGAUGAGUAGGGCGGGACACGUGGUAUCCUGUCUGAAUAUGGGGGGACCAUCCUCCAAGGCUAAAUACUCCUGACUGACCGAUAGUGAACCAGUACCGUGAGGGAAAGGCGAAAAGAACCCCGGCGAGGGGAGUGAAAAAGAACCUGAAACCGUGUACGUACAAGCAGUGGGAGCCCCACCACCAAAGCAUUCUCUGGUGUUGAAGGCCCUGCAAAGCAGCAUCGCGGUGGCGGAGCGUCGUUUGCGACGCCCAACACACAAAACAAGCGGUGAGUGCUUUGGGGUGGGGUGACUGCGUACCUUUUGUAUAAUGGGUCAGCGACUUAUAUUCUGUAGCAAGGUUAACCGAAUAGGGGAGCCGGAGGGAAACCGAGUCUUAAUUGGGCGUUAAGUUGCAGGGUAUAGACCCGAAACCCGGUGAUCUAGCCAUGGGCAGGUUGAAGGUUGGGUAACACUAACUGGAGGACCGAACCGACUAAUGUUGAAAAAUUAGCGGAUGACCUGUGGCUGGGGGUGAAAGGCCAAUCAAACCGGGAGAUAGCUGGUUCUCCCCGAAAGCUAUUUAGGUAGCGCCUCGUGAAUUCAUCUCCGGGGGUAGAGCACUGUUUCGGCUAGGGGGCCAUCCCGGCUUACCAACCCGAUGCAAACUGCGAAUACCGGAGAAUGUUAUCACGGGAGACACACGGCGGGUGCUAACGUCCGUCGUGAAGAGGGAAACAACCCAGACCGCCAGCUAAGGUCCCAAAGUCAUGGUUAAGUGGGAAACGAUGUGGGAAGGCCCAGACAGCCAGGAUGUUGGCUUAGAAGCAGCCAUCAUUUAAAGAAAGCGUAAUAGCUCACUGGUCGAGUCGGCCUGCGCGGAAGAUGUAACGGGGCUAAACCAUGCACCGAAGCUGCGGCAGCGACACUCAGGUGUUGUUGGGUAGGGGAGCGUUCUGUAAGCCUGCGAAGGUGGCCUGUGAGGGUUGCUGGAGGUAUCAGAAGUGCGAAUGCUGACAUAAGUAACGAUAAAGCGG
This 1069-nucleotide ribosomal RNA is filed under the name Salmonella enterica. RNAcentral describes it as "partial 23S ribosomal RNA". It matches the Rfam family "Bacterial large subunit ribosomal RNA", at positions 351 to 1320 of the family's 2925-position model. The record is from RNAcentral. Lineage: Bacteria; Pseudomonadati; Pseudomonadota; Gammaproteobacteria; Enterobacterales; Enterobacteriaceae.